UUAAAUAGACGGAAUCCCACUCGUAUACCCUAACCAACAUUUGUCACGCCGCCGCCGCCAUCGCCGGCGGCGAUUCUCAAUGGCCGCUCCUGCCUUCAGCGGGAGCGCCGACGACUCAGAGGACUACUCGCCGGCAGCCACCGUCGUCCGCUUCGACCCGCCGCCCCCUCUCCUCCGUGCGCCCGUCCCCUCCCCCGCCCCCGGCGGCGAGCCCCCCGUCCUCGCCUUCCGCGACGCCGCGAGCUGGCAGGCCGCCUGGGAGGCCGCCGAGGCCAGCCUCGUCUCCCAGUGCAAGGCUGGUGCACGAUCAGGAUGUUCAAUCACUGCAUCACGCAAAUGCAGGCCACCCUUGUGGAAAGGCUUAUUUGGAGCUGCACCGACUGAUUAUCAAGAAAGAGAGAGGUGUGAAGAGCGAGAGAUGGCCACUUGUCUCGAGGCAGCAAAGGAGGCUUGCAUUAAGUUUGCUAAGGAAAAAUGCAUUGCACCAUUCCGAGAUGCAAGGAUUGCUUCCAAUGGUCUCCUGGAAAAUACAGAUUUCGUUGUUUGGGGUGCUGGUAGUAACAAAACAUCAUCGACAUCAUUGUAUGUUCUGAACAGUCAGUACUCAUUCAAUCCUGAUCCUGGUAUGACAAACUACAAAGGAAGUGACUUGCUAGAUAGCUUAUCAUCUAAAGACAACAAUAACUCUGGAUUAUGACUGAGGAAAGAUGUUACAGUGGUCAAGACGUCAUACUAGAAUUCGGAAUUAGAACCAUCAAUCAAAUCAUGGAAAAUUUAUGGUCCAAGGGUGGUGGUUUCAUGCCAUGUUGGUGGUUUUGUUACUGAAGUUGGUUCAAUGGCUAGGAUAGUGAGCAAUAAAUUUAUGGAAAUGGGGGCAGAGGAUAAAAGACUGGAGUUUUGUUGGUUGAGAGCAAGUGCGGGGAUAUAGUGGAAACCAUAACGUUUGAAUAUUGUACUUGUUCGGAUUGUUUCGUUCUGUGCUUGAUGUAGGCACAACACAACAUGCAGAGUGCUUCUCUGUAUGCCAAUUGCUGAAAAAUUCAUAUAGCUGUUGAUGUUCACCUGUACAAAAUUCCGUUGUAUCUAUGAACUCUCAGGAUAUGAAGGAAGGGAAGUGCAAUUCUUCCGGAGACCUACAGUCCAUGACUUGCACGUUCUAAUGUUGGCGCAAGCUACAUCCAAAUUAAUCUAUUUCAGGCUCAUGAGAAUUGAUUUU
Phragmites australis (common reed) is the source of this 1216-nucleotide RNA transcript. RefSeq lists it as uncharacterized. The record is from RefSeq and is a predicted model, not a curated record. The transcript has 3 exons. Lineage: Eukaryota; Viridiplantae; Streptophyta; Magnoliopsida; Poales; Poaceae.